UCCCAAACUGCAUCUUCAGCAACAACGAGCUGCCUAUGCUCGUCCCAACCAAAGCCGCUAUUGUUUUGGCCAUUAAGCAUGUCAUAGACGACUGACCAUUCCCUUUUUAGGCACCUAAUCCGAGAUUCAAUAUUUGGUUUCGCCUUCAACAUUGCUCUUGGUAAAGCCUUUUCUAGCAUUUUCUCUAGCUCGUUCAAAUAACCGGCUUUGAACCUGGUAUCAGCAUUAAAUGUUCCUACAUUGUGCAAAUCCACCAUGCAAGAAACCAAGGCUGCAUCUUCUUCUAGAACC
This 291-nucleotide long non-coding RNA is filed under the name Gossypium raimondii (Peruvian cotton). Its description in RNAcentral is "long non-coding RNA (GRAI_LNC006193)". Lineage: Eukaryota; Viridiplantae; Streptophyta; Magnoliopsida; Malvales; Malvaceae. The record is from RNAcentral.